Molecule: ribosomal RNA, 483 nt
Filed under: uncultured bacterium
Lineage: Bacteria
Description: partial 16S ribosomal RNA
Rfam family: Bacterial small subunit ribosomal RNA
Source: RNAcentral
UGGGGAAUUUUGGACAAUGGGCGAAAGCCUGAUCCAGCAAUGCCGCGUGUGUGAAGAAGGCCUUCGGGUUGUAAAGCACUUUUGUCCGGAAAGAAAUCCUUGGCUCUAAUACAGUCGGGGGAUGACGGUACCGGAAGAAUAAGCACCGGCUAACUACGUGCCAGCAGCCGCGGUAAUACGUAGGGUGCAAGCGUUAAUCGGAAUUACUGGGCGUAAAGCGUGCGCAGGCGGUUUGCUAAGACCGAUGUGAAAUCCCCGGGCUCAACCUGGGAACUGCAUUGGGUGACUGGCAGGCUAGAGGUAUGGCAGAGGGGGGUAGAAUUCCACGUGUAGCAGUGAAAUGCGUAGAGAUGUGGAGGAAUACCCGAUGGCGAAGGCAGCCCCCUGGGCCAAUACUGACGCUGCAUGCACGAAAGCGUGGGGAGCAAACAGGAUUNGAUAACCCUGGUAGUCCACGUCCUGAAACGAUGUCAACUAGUUGUU